Molecule: long non-coding RNA, 454 nt
Organism: Gorilla gorilla gorilla (western lowland gorilla)
Lineage: Eukaryota; Metazoa; Chordata; Mammalia; Primates; Hominidae
Exons: 3
Source: RefSeq, a predicted model, not a curated record
UGAUGAUGUUUUCCUAAUGUCUUAGUUUACCAUUGGUUCUUGGGUCUGCCAUUUGAUACUGCUAUCAGAUGUGAAAAGGCACAGACCUGACUAUAGAAAGCCUGAAUUCUCCAACCAGGGGAAAACACUUCCUAGAACUGCAUGUAUGUGUCUGUCUAAGGAUGAAGUUCAGAUUCCUCAUAGAAGAAACAGGUAUGAUAAUACUACCUGCGUGGUAGCAUUAUGCUGAAGAUAAGUGAGUUAAUACAAACAGAGUGCUGAGAGCAGUGCCUGGCACAGAGCGGUUCUCAACAGGUAUUAGCUCCUGUUAUUAUUAACUAUUAUCAAUAAUUGGCAUGUGGCAUGGAAAUGGGAAGGAGGGAUGAUAAAAAGGAGAAGAUAUACUGGAAAGACAAAAACGGUAGCUCUUCACAGCUCAUUGGAAGGCUUUUGGUCUAAAACUUUCAUAAGUCAU